Molecule: ribosomal RNA, 61 nt
Filed under: Fusarium oxysporum
Lineage: Eukaryota; Fungi; Ascomycota; Sordariomycetes; Hypocreales; Nectriaceae
Description: partial 28S ribosomal RNA
Source: RNAcentral
UUGACCUCGGAUCAGGUAGGAAUACCCGCUGAACUUAAGCAUAUCAGACGGGGAGAAGGAA